UAACCCCCAGAAAGACAGCGUUUUGAUUGGAUACCGAUCACUGCGCUGGCUGCGUGAGGGAUAUACGGAACUAACGGAAGUGAGAUGUCGUCCGACGUCUGUUGGCAAGGCUAUCAUGGCGGCCGCAACGUGCCGGUGAUAGAUUUGCGAUCGCUGGAACGUAGGACGUAUAGUUGUACGGCACAUGGCCCUGUGACAGACCUUUCAAUCUCGCAAAUGAACCUAAAUAAACGCAGCUCGUUUAUCCACCUUAUCGAUAAUUAAAACGUCGGAAGUUCACUCGUCAGAUGGUCGACUACUUCUAAGGUUACGAGGUGACAGCUCGUAAGUAAACGGUAAUCGUCACCGGCAGUGAACGCGUAAUAAAGUUUUCAAUGCAUCGCAAUGCAGACGUAGCGAAUUUAAUAAGCAGCGCGUUCAAGGUCGUCGUAUCUGCAAAGCAAUCAUGUGGGUAACAAACAUCAUGGAUGCAGGACAAUCACAAACUUUGCAUUUCUAACGUACCCACUGUAUCGAAUCAGAACAACUAACAUCUUCCCCCAAUUCCCAAGCACAUCGAUAUCGAAAAAUACAGCAGCUCACAUUCCGGUGUUACAAAUCGAGGGUUCCUAACCCCACAGGCUAAAACCAACGUCGGAUGAUCCAACACCACCACCUGGAUAUUACAAAAGGACGUUUUCUCUCCUGGCACGCCACAAACUUGAGCAUUCCUUUCCAAUCCUACUCAGUUCUGAAACCCAACCUAUUUCCCCCGGAGUUCAUCGUAAGUCAACCAUAAUUUAUACUUCUAUGACGUACCUGCUGUAUUGUUUCAACACGAUUAACACCUUCCUUCCAACCCCAAGCAUACCAAAGGAUCCUACUUCCAUAGGUGUACCGACACCUACAAAUUCAUCGGCACUACCUAUACAAAUCCGUGAAAGAAGGUACCUCUCCAGAAACGUAACGAACGCAAAGCUCCUCUUCAAUCCCACCCGCUCAACAAACAUCCGAGGACCUGGGAUGGCGGACGACUAUGCAAAACAAAGAAAGUCUACAUCCAACAAGGCCCGACGCAAGCGUACAGAUGUAGAACGAUGCGUCAGAACCUGAUCCAUUGCAACAGACCAAGAGCCUCUCCCCAAAGACCAAUUCCGAGCGAACUGAUGCCGAUAAAUCCGGAGCCUACUCUCACCUCACCCGAAAGAAACCAAUUUCUUUCGUGGCACAUCACCCACGAAAAACACCUUUCUCAGCGCGAUUCUACCCGGCAACAAGAACGGUAGCGAAUCAAAAGGUGAACAAACCUUCUAAACGUAGAUCUAUUUUGGAUAAAUCUUGCGAAUUCGAGUCCAGGCCAUCGGACCAACGAUUUCUUGUGAUUCAACAUACCGAUAACGAUGGAAAAAUUGGCUCCCGUCCCGAUAACAGCAAAUUAAAAGUUCCUGUACCCUCAAACAAAGGGCCGCCGUAAAAUUCAGAGUCUACCUCACGCUACCCGGAAAAAGACGGUCUUUUUCCUGGCCCUUCACACAACACGAGCUCUGCCGUAAACGUAUGCGCUGAUCAAAGCUGUUGCUGAACGAAAUGGUUGAAGAUCCAUUGAAUUAACGAUACAUCAACGAUGGCUAGACGCUGUCUUGUAGUCACCUAGGGAACCUAUUUUAUCGACUCGCAAGCAUUUUCCUCAGAUGCCGACGCACUGGAACAAAUGAGCAUGCAUGCCGAUGCCUCACGCAACAACCGGCGCAUCGAUUAACGUUGUGACGAAGGGGCAUCGAAAGAAAAGUGUGAAAUUCGUGCGGAAGCGUUUGUUUACGUAAUUCAUGUUACCUACAAUAACAAACAACAUCCACCAAUAGCCAAUGUCGACGAUCACCGUGCGCGUCUCAUGAAAGUGGCCGCGAUCUACGCUUGCGUCAAAGUAUUCGAAUUUCGCAGUCCACGAGCAAGCACGAGCCUUGCUGGAGAUAACGUAGUCACCGGCGUAGGCGUCUUGUUGUAGGAUGUCACUCGCGAGAGCUGAUUCGGCAGUAGAUCAGCCCUUAUAGGUGACAUCUCACAACAUUAUGCCUACGCCGGUGGCUACGCUGACUCCAGCAAUAACAAGGCUCGGGCUCGCUCGGAGACUGAGAAAUUCGAAUAUUUCGACGCAUGCUCUGAUCGCGGCCACUUUCACGUGAAACGCACGGUAUAAGCAUGUCAUGUGAGCGAAGUACUGCGUCCCAAAGUAAUUGCUGUACAUGAUAAGCAUUAGAAUGAUUGAUCUAUUUGACGUAGCAGUGAUUGCAAUGAAUGGUAAUAAAUGGGUACUCGAAACAAAAGACACCAUCAUUGUUAGUUUCAGUUCUGGCGUUGCAUUGUAAUUGUUGUAUCGUAGUCAUCUGAAGGUCAAGGACGGUUGGAGCGGUAUCCAAAUGUCAAAGGAAAAUCGAAGCGGGUUUCCAUAUAGCGUCGGGGCAAAAUAACGUAUCGUCGACAGGCCAACUUCAAUGUUAUAAUAAUUGGCAAUCAGAAAUCGAGAUCGUCGUUCGAAUAAAUGUCAGGCUAAUCAAAUAAACGCAUCGAAACAAAAUACACGGGCAAAUAAUGCUUUACAUCCUCCCCCAACACCGUCCAUAGUCAAAAGUAAGGCUUAAGACUGACUAUCGUUGUUUACAAAACAAAGAUCUUCAGUCAAUAACCGAAUAUAAUCCGAGGGUAAGUUCAGUAGGCGGAUAUAAAUAAAACGAGCAUCGUCCGGCAAUGUCAACAUUUCUGACGAGGAGGAUCAUAUGUCAGACGUUCAUCUUAUUCUUGCAGCGCCAAACGUGAAAAUCAAACAUUGUCCAUAAGUACAACAACAUUUAUAACGCAUCAAAUUAAUAAUACCGGCACAAUUACGAUUGCCAAGGAGGGAACUCGUUGAACAAUCGGUAAUUGUAAUCAGCAGAGAUCGCGGAGAUGAAAAUAAUUUCAAUUCAAGAUUUAUGGCUGUACGAACUACAGCCCAAUCAUGUCCAGGUCACCUGUCUAGCAAUCAUUUCUGAGCCAACUACAAUCUAUGCCCUCCGUCAUACCAAGUAUACUGAUUCAUGAAGUUUAACAUUACCUUCUCUCAUUUAAGCAUACCGAUAUUGAAGGACGUAUCAGUUUCAAUUCCAAUACCAAAAACCAAA
Long non-coding RNA from Athalia rosae (coleseed sawfly), 3137 nucleotides. RefSeq lists it as uncharacterized. NCBI's taxonomy places the organism in Eukaryota, Metazoa, Arthropoda, Insecta, Hymenoptera, Athaliidae. The transcript has 3 exons. The record is from RefSeq and is a predicted model, not a curated record.